UGGGGAAUUUUGGACAAUGGGGGCAACCCUGAUCCAGCCAUGCCGCGUGUGUGAAGAAGGCCUUCGGGUUGUAAAGCACUUUCGGACGGAACGAAAUCGCGCGGGUUAACAGCCCGCGUGGAUGACGGUACCGUAAGAAGAAGCACCGGCUAACUACGUGCCAGCAGCCGCGGUAAUACGUAGGGUGCGAGCGUUAAUCGGAAUUACUGGGCGUAAAGUGUGCGCAGGUGGCCGCGCAAGUCGAGUGUGAAAUCCCCGGGCUUAACUUGGGAAUUGCGCUCGAAACUACGUGGCUGGAGUGCGGCAGAGGAAGGUGGAAUUCCACGUGUAGCGGUGAAAUGCGUAGAGAUGUGGAGGAACACCAAUGGCGAAGGCAGCCUUCUGGGCCGACACUGACGCUCAUGCACGAAAGCGUGGGGAGCAAACAGGAUUAGAUACCCUGGUAGUCCACGCCCUAAACGAUGACGACUAGUUGUUGGGGGAGUUAAAUCCCUUAGUAACGCAGCUAACGCGUGAAGUCGUCCGCCUGGGGAGUACGGUCGCAAGAUUAA
Molecule: ribosomal RNA, 551 nt
Filed under: uncultured beta proteobacterium
Lineage: Bacteria; Pseudomonadati; Pseudomonadota; Betaproteobacteria
Description: bacterial SSU rRNA
Rfam family: Bacterial small subunit ribosomal RNA
Source: RNAcentral